Non-coding RNA from Podarcis lilfordi (Lilford's wall lizard), 71 nucleotides. NCBI's taxonomy places the organism in Eukaryota, Metazoa, Chordata, Lepidosauria, Squamata, Lacertidae. The record is from the annotation of a GenBank genome assembly.
GGGCUAUAGCUCAGUGGUAGAGCAUCUGCUUUCCAUGCAAAAGGUCCCAGGUCCGGUCCAUGGCAUCUCCA